RNAcentral lists this small RNA (51 nucleotides) under Archaeoglobus fulgidus. The record is from RNAcentral. Lineage: Archaea; Methanobacteriati; Methanobacteriota; Archaeoglobi; Archaeoglobales; Archaeoglobaceae.
AAAUAGGGGUGGUAGUAAUGCGGUAUAAUUUCAGCGUAAGAAAGGGAGGCU